RNAcentral lists this ribosomal RNA (251 nucleotides) under uncultured prokaryote. Its description in RNAcentral is "partial 16S ribosomal RNA". It matches the Rfam family "Bacterial small subunit ribosomal RNA", at positions 525 to 775 of the family's 1533-position model. The record is from RNAcentral.
ACGAAGGGGGCUAGCGUUGUUCGGAAUUACUGGGCGUAAAGCGCACGUAGGCUGACUUUUAAGUCAGGGGUGAAAUCCCGGGGCUCAACCUCGGAACUGCCUUUGAUACUGGAAGUCUUGAGUCCGAGAGAGGUGAGUGGAACUCCGAGUGUAGAGGUGAAAUUCGUAGAUAUUCGGAAGAACACCAGUGGCGAAGGCGGCUCACUGGCUCGGUACUGACGCUGAGGUGCGAAAGCGUGGGGAGCAAACAG